CUUACACUGCACAGCCAAAGAAAACCAAUUCUCUCUUCACUACGUUCUGGUUGAACAAUUCCGAAGUAGCAGAAGUGGACACACUCUGCUAUUGUUCUCCACUGCUGCAGGAGCCAGAAUCUCUCCUCAUCCGCUGGAGGCAGAGCUGGGCAAACAACAAUUUGCACACUGCAUGGAAAGUGAUGCCAGGAACAUAGCAGAGGAAGAUGUCCUCAGGGUUUUCAAUUUGUAUGGGCUGUUAGCGGUUGAGACAACUGAGAAUUUUCUAUAGAAAUAGCUAUUUGUUGGGUUGGUUUUCUUUUUUUGUUUGUUUGUUUUUGGAAAAUGCUGAUUUAUUGAAUCAGGGAGGGUAUGAGGAGCACUGCUGAAGGCCAGAGUUUGGGCUGGAAACGCACAGAGGUUCUGCUUUGGGAACUGCUGCUGAUGUCCACCCCAUGCAGAUGAGCGAUGACUUCUGGCCUCCCCCAGCGAGCGCCCUGGGACCAUUUCUGCAGCGCAGACUGGAGCUCAGUUUACCAGGAAAUCCACGUUUGCAAUUUCUUCUCUCAGGUGGAUGGCCAGGGAGAGUCGCUGCUUCCUUGAACAGAGUUCGGAACAGGAAAUUGAGAAAAAGAAACCAACACAGCACACAGCUUGUCCAAGAGAAGGAGCUGACUGCUGGCUUUGCAGGCACUAUUUUUACGCCCAAAGGGUAUUUCCAAGCUCCCAAGGGCUUAGUAAUAGAACAGAUCCCAGGGGGAUGUUGGGGAAGGGCUCUGCUGAUGAAAAGAGGUUUCUUCCUGUUUGCUCCCUGCUGGUGGGACGUCUGCCAAGCACAGUCAAUGCUGAGGAACACCUGCAUCCAUCUAAUAACGUGGGCUGAGGAAAAAUCAUGAGAUAAUCGAUAGGAAACCAGAUAGCGCUGAAUGACAGAAGCCUGGAGAGUACAGGGAGAGACGAGCCUUACUUUGUGCAAUUCACCACCUGAAUAAGGAACAGAUUAAGGGACACGGCGGGAGGAUCUUGUGACUGUCCCACACCACCUGAAACUCUCCUCACCCUGUGAGGAUGAAGCAGUGAGGGAUGGGUGCAGACAGAAGCAGCAGCUGCGUGUAGAGCCAACUGGAGCACACAUCGCUCUGCUGCACCCCCAAUGGCAAAGGCAGUGAGGGAGAAAGCCUUCAGCAUCUCCUCCUGCUUCAGCCACAGUCUGUGCACCAGACUCUGCAGCUUUUCCAUGAGUGGUGCUUUCCCAUCAAUCUCAUCCUGAGAGGAGAGCAGAACUAAAAAUCUUUUUUUCCACCCAGGCCUCUGAGCACAAUUGCUGAAACCUG
RNAcentral lists this long non-coding RNA (1313 nucleotides) under Gallus gallus (chicken). RNAcentral's name for it is "lncRNA (ENSGALG00010012627.1)". The record is from RNAcentral. Lineage: Eukaryota; Metazoa; Chordata; Aves; Galliformes; Phasianidae.